GCCGCAGUGGCGCAAUGGUAGCGCGCGAGACUUCUAUUCUAAACCAGAUUGAAGGUCAAUCUCGAGGCUCAGGGUUCGAGCCCCUGCUGCGGUG
This is a non-coding RNA of Cadophora sp. M221, 94 nucleotides long. NCBI's taxonomy places the organism in Eukaryota, Fungi, Ascomycota, Leotiomycetes, Helotiales, Ploettnerulaceae. The record is from the annotation of a GenBank genome assembly.